This 577-nucleotide unclassified non-coding RNA is filed under the name Portunus trituberculatus (swimming crab). RNAcentral describes it as "dNA ligase 1-like, transcript variant X3". Lineage: Eukaryota; Metazoa; Arthropoda; Malacostraca; Decapoda; Portunidae. The record is from RNAcentral.
CUACAAUAACACCAUUUUAUUGACAUAAGGAAGGGUGUAUGGAGGUGACGAGAUUGAUAGCCACAGUCCUCACCAUUCUAACCCCUACAUGAAUUGGUGAAGCUGUACAAAAUCACCAAAUAGUCACCACAAGGAAUAGGGAAACACGUCAUGCUACUGAAAGGGUUAAAUUGAUACCUAUUAUCAUUAUUCUCUUAUCUCUGUAAUAACAAUCAUCAUCAGCAGCUAUUUACAAACCUAACGACGGUAUUUUCGUAUAGGACUACCUACGUACUGACUGCAUAGGCCUAGGGAAGAGGAAAAGCCUAUUAGACACUCAGACGAAAAGAAAACGAAAGUAUGUGAAACGUGACAUAUGAGACGUGGGAAGUGAGCGAUCAGAUUCAGUGCGCCGCCGGCAGUCACAGGGGGAAGAUGUGCGCCGCUCCCCUCUCCUCCUCAUACUACCUCCACACCCGUAUACAUUUUGAUACAUAGCGGUGUUGUGUGUAUACCUGGAAGGGUCACAAGUAUACAUAAGGUGCGGAAGGAAGAAUUACAACGGAGGAAGAGAGAGAGAGAGAGAGAGAGAGAGAGA